GCGCACCUUUCGGGGUGAGCGGCGGACGGGUUAGUAACGCGUGGGAAUAUACCCUUUGGUACGGAAUAGCCUCUGGAAACGGAGAGUAAUACCGUAUGAGCCCUUCGGGGGAAAGAUUUAUCGCCAAAGGAUUAGCCCGCGUUAGAUUAGGUAGUUGGUGGGGUAAUGGCCUACCAAGCCUACGAUCUAUAGCUGGUUUUAGAGGAUGAUCAGCAACACUGGGACUGAGACACGGCCCAGACUCCUACGGGAGGCAGCAGUGGGGAAUCUUGGACAAUGGGCGCAAGCCUGAUCCAGCCAUGCCGCGUGAGUGAUGAAGGCCUUAGGGUCGUAAAGCUCUUUCGCCUGUGAAGAUAAUGACGGUAGCAGGUAAAGAAACCCCGGCUAACUCCGUGCCAGCAGCCGCGGUAAUACGGAGGGGGUUAGCGUUGUUCGGAAUUACUGGGCGUAAAGCGCACGUAGGCGGACUGGAAAGUAUGGGGUGAAAUCCCAGGGCUCAACCCUGGAACUGCCUCAUAAACUAUCAGUCUAGAGUUCGAGAGAGGUGAGUGGAAUUCCGAGUGUAGAGGUGAAAUUCGUAGAUAUUCGGAGGAACACCAGUGGCGAAGGCGGCUCACUGGCUCGAUACUGACGCUGAGGUGCGAAAGUGUGGGGAGCAAACAGGAUUAGAUACCCUGGUAGUCCACACCGUAACGAUGAAUGCCAGUCGUCGGGUAGCAUGCUAUUCGGUGACACACCUAA
Molecule: ribosomal RNA, 741 nt
Filed under: Ruegeria sp. Rg286
Lineage: Bacteria; Pseudomonadati; Pseudomonadota; Alphaproteobacteria; Rhodobacterales; Roseobacteraceae
Description: bacterial SSU rRNA
Rfam family: Bacterial small subunit ribosomal RNA
Source: RNAcentral